This 1508-nucleotide unclassified non-coding RNA is filed under the name Hevea brasiliensis (rubber tree). Lineage: Eukaryota; Viridiplantae; Streptophyta; Magnoliopsida; Malpighiales; Euphorbiaceae. The record is from RNAcentral.
UGAAAAUUCACCAAUGGUGUCAUUGUAUUUGUAAAUUGUAAUUGUCCAAAGCUUCUGCAGAGGGAAGAAUUUCAACUUCAAGGGCCAGGAACUAGAGAGGAACGAAAUUGCAAAUGGUAGAAACACACAGUAUCAACGUUAACAAGCCUCUUUAAUUAUUACAAACGCAACUUCGAAAAGGAACAAAUAAACCCAAUGAACACAGCACACAAUUACACAAGCUUUCAUGCUUUAGAUUAUCUUGAUGCAAUCCAAAAACUGUGUGAAAGUGAAGACUAGGAGUGCAAUUGCAGCAACUGUUCCAGUGCCUCUCCACAAGUUGCUGAAAUACACACUUCUCAGGAUCGCCAUCGUUCGACAGAGUGGAUUCUCGCAGUGCUUAUUCAACGCCUCACUCAGAUCGUAAAAACAAGACCCAAAUACCAUAAUUUCUAAACAAAGAUUAUUGACCAACUCGGCCACUGUUUUGUUGUCUCCUAGCAAGUUCACAAUGAUUUCCUUACGAACAAGCAAAUCCACGUCCUUCUCUGUGUUGAUCAGAAAAUCAAGUAUCCAUAUGUAAUCGCAUAUUAAAGGCUGGUCCGGAUAGUGACACUGCUCGAAAGCCAUCAGGUUUCUAAUAACAAGCUCGGUGCUAUCAUCCGCAUCGAAUAUUGGCAUCUUCAACUCUCCCCUUUUAAAUUUUAUGUCAAUUGAGCAUGCAUUUUCACUCGCCUUAAAAUUCACUCCUGCUUCAUGCAGCCUAGUGGCAUCGUAUAGCUUCUUCACUAACUUAUUAUUCUUCGACUCUGGAUGGCAGUAGGAUCGAUAUUUUCGAAACAAGUCAGUGAAGUGUAAGGGUUUCUCCUGAAGGGGUUUCUCCGGAAGGGGUUUCUUCUCAAGGAGUUUCUCCGGAAGGUCUUCUUCUUUGUUUUUAUUGUCUUUUCCUACGCUUCCAUCCUUGUGCCUCUGACAGGUGAAGAGUCUAAUAAUCCAGAAAUAGAGCAAACAAGAGAAGCAAUCGCAGGUACACUUUUGAUUUUCAUUUUUUUCUCUUUCUAGAGAAGAUUUGUUCUUCUUUAACUGAAAGUGAAAGUUAAAGAGCACAAGGUCAUGGAAAGAAUGAUGUUGUUCUUCACUAGAUUUGGGGAAAGAGAAUUCAUAUAAAUCAUCAAGAACAAAGUAGGGCAGCUGAUUUUCAACCAAUAUUAAAUCCCAUAAUAAACCAUAUUCCCUUGUUGAUUUUCCAAGGAUAAAAUCAUCAUUGUAAUUUCUAGGCACUUGUUUUUCAACGAAAUUAUAUUUUUCUGCUCUUCUUAAGAAGAGCUCGAUGAUGAACACAGAAUCCAGGAGAAUCAUCUUGAGGAACUUGUCAGUGCUUUCCUCAAAUGUCUCUUCAUAACAAUGGCGUACCUUCUCCUCUUUAAUUUGUUUGGCAAGCUCAGUCGAAUCCUUCCCUGUCCUUGCACAGAACUCUGCCAAGUAUCGCAAUUUCUGCUUCUCCAUAGGCUUUAAUGCUUUGUUGUUGC